CGUGCGUGGAUUUAGUUAAUCGGCUGGUCAAAGCGGUGCCCACUACCGAAUGAUUCAAGCGUUCGUUUUGCCUCAACCUUUUCUUUUCUCGGAUUCCUUUUUCUCUCCGCUCUCCUCUUUUCCAUUGCCGCCGGCGCCACAUCCUUCCAGGGCCGGCGCCUUCCUCUCUCGCUCUGUCCGCCGCUCCGUGCGGAUUUAAGUGUAGUGGACGUGUACGUGCUCGCCGGCUGAGCGAACGAAUAUGAGCGGUGGCCCUGCCCUACAGCGAGACCCUGGCAGAGCUGUGUGUCAGGCGGCCAUGGAGAGGGUCGGCUCCGGUGUAGCGGCCGUCGAGGAGAUGCUCCGGCUCCCCCAAUCAUUCUCCACCUGUGCCAUCCUUCUAUUUGCGACCAAGAUAGUAGAACCCUGGAAGAAGCUUUCAUGGCGGCUGCUCCUCCGCCCCCUUGGUCCGGUCGUCUCCUCUCCUUCCUCGCUGGAGUGUGAAGGAGGUGACGCGCGCUGCGAGGCUGCGGGUGAACUCGCCGUGCGAAACCCUCCGCGUCGAGGCCUCGUGUCUUCUCCAGGACCGGCCGCUGCCUCCCCCGUCAUUCCACAGCAGGUUCUCUAGCGUGUUUGUCCCCAGCUCUUCAGAUCUGUUCGUUUUUUUCUUGGCCGCCGCAUACUGGGACUCUGGGAGACCACUUAAUGUUUGCUUAUAUCCACAUGGUUUCCUCUUGAGUACAGGAAGUUGCUUCAGUUCAUCAGUCGAUGCUUCGCUUUUGGUCGAUGAGAGGUGGUUUCCUGUCAUUUGUUUCUGACAAGCGUUUCAGGUUUCACUUUCCUUUGAAUUGUCGUUGUGGUCCUUGCCAGGGUUCUGCUGCUCACUAGCAACUAAGAUUUGGUAGGACGAUUUGGCCACGAAGCUUGGUUUUUCUGACCAGAAGAGGAACCUGCCAAUGGCAUAGUCAACAAUCGCUAGGGGAACACGAUAGAGGGAGCUGUGUACCAGCCAACUGCGUCGAUCAAUUCAGAGACUAAUGGAAGGAAGGCUUGAUCUACAUUUGAGAUGUUCAUUGCCGCGGGGGCACGAAAGAAGUGCAGAACGGCAGAGCAUCCGUACAUCAUCAACUUUGUUCAAUGUACAACGAUACAGGAAGUUACUCUUCAGCCUGAGAAUAUGCCUCUGUUUGCAUAUAAGGCUUAUCCAUUUGAUGUUAUGGAAGCAUGUAUUCAACAAUACUAUUCUACUGAUGCAGCCUAAACUCAGUUAUUGUUGUGUAACCUAAGUAAUAUUUUGACCCAGUAUUUCCUGUUCAGCCUAGAUUUGUCCCGGUCAUUCUCUUUUGUUCCAUAGCAUAUCUAGGGUAUUUGCAUCAGCUUCUGCAUUGGUGUUUCAUAGCGCAAGCCUUUUUAGGUGAUGAUAAUGUUAUAUUUCUUCAUUUAUUAUAUGCCUAUUCUUUAUCCAUCAUAAAGUUGGGCUAUAAAA
This is a long non-coding RNA of Lolium perenne, 1465 nucleotides long. RefSeq lists it as uncharacterized. NCBI's taxonomy places the organism in Eukaryota, Viridiplantae, Streptophyta, Magnoliopsida, Poales, Poaceae. The record is from RefSeq and is a predicted model, not a curated record.